Molecule: ribosomal RNA, 253 nt
Filed under: uncultured bacterium
Lineage: Bacteria
Description: partial 16S ribosomal RNA
Rfam family: Bacterial small subunit ribosomal RNA
Source: RNAcentral
UACGUAGGGGGCAAGCGUUGUCCGGAAUCAUUGGGCGUAAAGAGCGUGUAGGCGGCCCGGUAAGUCCGCUGUGAAAGUCGAGGGCUCAACCCUCGAAUGCCGGCGGAUACUGUCGGACUAGAGUCCGGAAGAGGCAAGUGGAAUUCCCGGUGUAGCGGUGAAAUGCGCAGAUAUCGGGAGGAACACCAAUGGCGAAGGCAGCUUGCUGGGACGGUACUGACGCUGAGGCGCGAAAGCGUGGGGAGCAAACAGG